Molecule: ribosomal RNA, 456 nt
Filed under: uncultured organism
Description: partial 16S ribosomal RNA
Rfam family: Bacterial small subunit ribosomal RNA
Source: RNAcentral
ACGUACACUCCUACGGGAGGCAGCAGUGGGGAAUAUUGGACAAUGGGCGCAAGCCUGAUCCAGCCAUGCCGCGUGAGUGAUGAAGGCCCUAGGGUUGUAAAGCUCUUUCACCGGUGAAGAUAAUGACGGUAACCGGAGAAGAAGCCCCGGCUAACUUCGUGCCAGCAGCCGCGGUAAUACGAAGGGGGCUAGCGUUGUUCGGAUUUACUGGGCGUAAAGCGCACGUAGGCGGACUAUUAAGUCAGGGGUGAAAUCCCGGGGCUCAACCCCGGAACUGCCUUUGAUACUGGUAGUCUUGAGUUCGAGAGAGGUGAGUGGAAUUCCGAGUGUAGAGGUGAAAUUCGUAGAUAUUCGGAGGAACACCAGUGGCGAAGGCGGCUCACUGGCUCGAUACUGACGCUGAGGUGCGAAAGCGUUGGGAGCAAACAGGAUGAGAUACCCGUGUAGUCCCAUGAU